This 88-nucleotide transfer RNA is filed under the name Candidatus Staskawiczbacteria bacterium RIFOXYB1_FULL_37_44. RNAcentral's name for it is "tRNA-Ser". It matches the Rfam family "tRNA". From Rfam's summary of the family: Transfer RNA (tRNA) molecules are approximately 80 nucleotides in length. RNAcentral also lists the same sequence under 4 other names. Lineage: Bacteria; Candidatus Staskawicziibacteriota. The record is from RNAcentral.
GGAGAGGUACCAGAGCGGUCUAAUGGAACGGCUUGGAAAGCCGUGACCCGAAAGGGUCCCGUGGGUUCGAAUCCCACCCUCUCCGCCA